CCUGGUAGCGGGGGAUAACUAAUUGGAAACGAAUAGCUAAUACCGCAUAAUAUUGAUUAUUUGCAUGAUAAUUGAUUGAAAGAUGCUAUUGCAUCACUACCAGAUGGACCUGCGUUGUAUUAGCUAGUAGGUGAGGUAACGGCUCACCUAGGCGACGAUACAUAGCCGACCUGAGAGGGUGAUCGGCCACACUGGGACUGAGACACGGCCCAG
Molecule: ribosomal RNA, 213 nt
Filed under: uncultured bacterium
Lineage: Bacteria
Description: partial 16S ribosomal RNA
Rfam family: Bacterial small subunit ribosomal RNA
Source: RNAcentral